AGUGAACGCUGGCGGUAGGCCUAACACAUGCAAGUCGAACGGCAGCACAGAGGAGCUUGCUCCUUGGGUGGCGAGUGGCGGACGGGUGAGGAAUACAUCGGAAUCUACUCUGUCGUGGGGGAUAACGUAGGGAAACUUACGCUAAUACCGCAUACGACCUACGGGUGAAAGCAGGGGACCUUCGGGCCUUGCGCGAUUGAAUGAGCCGAUGUCGGAUUAGCUAGUUGGCGGGAUAAAGGCCCACCAAGGCGACGAUCCGUAGCUGGUCUGAGAGGAGGAUCAGCCAAACUGGAACUGAGACACGGUCCAGACUCCUACGGGAGGCAGCAGUGGGGAAUAUUGGACAAUGGGCGCAAGCCUGAUCCAGCCAUACCGCGUGGGUGAAGAAGGCCUUCGGGUUGUAAAGCCCUUUUGUUGGGAAAGAAAUCCAGCUGGCUAAUACCCGGUUGGGAUGACGGUACCCAAAGAAUAAGCACCGGCUAACUUCGUGCCAGCCGCCGCGGUAA
This 506-nucleotide ribosomal RNA is filed under the name uncultured bacterium. Its description in RNAcentral is "partial 16S ribosomal RNA". It matches the Rfam family "Bacterial small subunit ribosomal RNA", at positions 29 to 523 of the family's 1533-position model. The record is from RNAcentral.